Molecule: unclassified non-coding RNA, 253 nt
Filed under: plant metagenome
Description: partial contains small subunit ribosomal RNA, internal transcribed spacer 1, and 5.8S ribosomal RNA
Rfam family: 5.8S ribosomal RNA (bases 205-253)
Source: RNAcentral
UUUCCGUAGGUGAACCUGCGGAAGGAUCAUUAUUGGAUUUUGAAACUUCAGGCUGCUGCUGGCUCUCCUCGGAGGGCAUGUGCACGCUUGUUGUCCAUUAUUUCUCCCACUGUGCACAAAUUGUAGACCUUUCAGUAGGCCUAUGUUGUUUUUCACAAUCUCUGAAUGUAAUAGAAUGGUUUUGAAUCUUGGGAAAUACAAUACAACUUUCAGCAACGGAUCUCUUGGCUCUCGCAUCGAUGAAGAGCGCAGC